RNAcentral lists this ribosomal RNA (141 nucleotides) under Arthrobacter sp. SR-K. Its description in RNAcentral is "partial 16S ribosomal RNA". It matches the Rfam family "Bacterial small subunit ribosomal RNA", at positions 355 to 507 of the family's 1533-position model. The record is from RNAcentral. RNAcentral also lists the same sequence under 1 other name. Lineage: Bacteria; Bacillati; Actinomycetota; Actinomycetes; Micrococcales; Micrococcaceae.
UGGGGAAUAUUGCACAAUGGGCGCAAGCCUGAUGCAGCGACGCCGCGUGAGGGAUGACGGCCUUCGGGUUGUAAACCAUCUUUCAGUAGGGAAGAAGCGAAAGUGACGGUACCUGCAGAAGAAGCGCCGGCUAACUACGUG